GAUGAACGCUGGCGGCGUGCCUAAUACAUGCAAGUCGAGCGAACAGACGAGGAGCUUGCUCCUCUGACGUUAGCGGCGCACGGGUGAGUAACACGUGGAUAACCUCCCUAUAAGACUGGGAUAACUUCGGGAAACCGGAGCUAAUACCGGAUAAUAUAUUGAACCGCAUGGUUCAAUAGUGAAAGACGGUUUUGCUGUCACUUCUAGAUGGAUACGAGCCGCAUUAGCUAGUUGGGAAGGUAACGGCUUACCAAGGGGACGAUGCGUAGCCGACCUGCGAGGGUGAUCGGCCACACUGGAACUGAGACACGGUCCAGACUCCUACGGGAGGCAGCAGUAGGGAAUCUUCCGCAAUGGGCGAAAGCCUGACGGAGCAACGCCGCGUGAGUGAUGAAGGUCUUCGGAUCGUAAAACUCUGUUAUUAGGGAAGAACAAAUGUGUAAGUAACUAUGCACGUCUUGACGGUACCUAAUCAGAAAGCCACGGCUAACUACGUG
This 497-nucleotide ribosomal RNA is filed under the name uncultured bacterium. RNAcentral describes it as "partial 16S ribosomal RNA". It matches the Rfam family "Bacterial small subunit ribosomal RNA", at positions 28 to 507 of the family's 1533-position model. The record is from RNAcentral.